RNAcentral lists this ribosomal RNA (468 nucleotides) under uncultured bacterium. RNAcentral describes it as "partial 16S ribosomal RNA". It matches the Rfam family "Bacterial small subunit ribosomal RNA", at positions 28 to 507 of the family's 1533-position model. The record is from RNAcentral.
GAUGAACGCUGGCGGCGUGCUUAACACAUGCAAGUCGAACGGUGAAGGCGGAGCUUGCUCUGCUGGAUCAGUGGCGAACGGGUGAGUAACACGUGAGCAAUCUGCCCCUGACUCUGGGAUAAGCGCUGGAAACGGCGUCUAAUACUGGAUACGAGCUGCGCAGGCAUCUUCAGCAGCUGGAAAGAAUUUCGGUCAGGGAUGAGCUCGCGGCCUAUCAGCUUGUUGGUGAGGUAAUGGCUCACCAAGGCGUCGACGGGUAGCCGGCCUGAGAGGGUGACCGGCCACACUGGGACUGAGACACGGCCCAGACUCCUACGGGAGGCAGCAGUGGGGAAUAUUGCACAAUGGGCGAAAGCCUGAUGCAGCAACGCCGCGUGAGGGAAGAAGGCCUUCGGGUUGUAAACCUCUUUUAGCAGGGAAGAAGCGAAAGUGACGGUACCUGCAGAAAAAGCGCCGGCUAACUACGUG